This 387-nucleotide ribosomal RNA is filed under the name uncultured bacterium. Its description in RNAcentral is "bacterial SSU rRNA". It matches the Rfam family "Bacterial small subunit ribosomal RNA", at positions 28 to 417 of the family's 1533-position model. The record is from RNAcentral.
GACGAACGCUGGCGGCGUGCUUAACACAUGCAAGUCGAGCGGUAAGGCCCUUUCGGGGGUACACGAGCGGCGAACGGGUGAGUAACACGUGGGUGACCUGCCCUCAGCUCUGGGAUAAGCCUGGGAAACUGGGUCUAAUACUGGAUAUGACUCCACGGUGCAUGUCGUGGGGUGGAAAGCCUUGUGCGGCUGAGGAUGGGCCCGCGGCCUAUCAGCUUGUUGGGGGGUGAUGGCCUACCAAGGCGACGACGGGUAGCCGGCCUGAGAGGGCGACCGGCCACACUGGGACUGAGACACGGCCCAGACUCCUACGGGAGGCAGCAGUGGGGAAUCUUGCGCAAUGGGCGAAAGCCUGACGCAGCGACGCCGCGUGAGGGAUGACGGCCU